GACGAACGCUGGCGGCGUGCUUAACACAUGCAAGUCGAACGGAAAGGCCCUGCUUUUGUGGGGUGCUCGAGUGGCGAACGGGUGAGUAACACGUGAGUAACCUGCCCUUGACUUUGGGAUAACUUCAGGAAACUGGGGCUAAUACCGGAUAGGAGCUCCUGCUGCAUGGUGGGGGUUGGAAAGUUUCGGCGGUUGGGGAUGGACUCGCGGCUUAUCAGCUUGUUGGUGGGGUAGUGGCUUACCAAGGCUUUGACGGGUAGCCGGCCUGAGAGGGUGACCGGCCACAUUGGGACUGAGAUACGGCCCAGACUCCUACGGGAGGCGGCAGUGGGGAAUAUUGCACAAUGGGCGGAAGCCUGAUGCAGCAACGCCGCGUGCGGGAUGACGGCCUUCGGGAUGUAAACCGCUUUCGCCUGUGACGAAGCGUGAGUGACGGUAAUGGGUAAAGAAGCACCGGCUAACUACGUG
RNAcentral lists this ribosomal RNA (468 nucleotides) under uncultured bacterium. RNAcentral's name for it is "partial 16S ribosomal RNA". It matches the Rfam family "Bacterial small subunit ribosomal RNA", at positions 28 to 507 of the family's 1533-position model. The record is from RNAcentral.